CCGAUGAAUAAUUUGGUUGCAAAUAAAAUUGGGGUAUUGUAAAUAAUUGUAAGGCUACUCAAGGGUCCACCGUGUGUGACCGGACACAGUAAAAUCAUUUGGUUGCAGUUACUGCCUCCCUUACAUUAUAGAAGACCCGCUUUCGCCAAAGAAGUAUAGUUACUAUUGUGAUGCAUAGCCUAAUUGCCAUGGUAAUUUUGAAUGUUUAGUCAAUUAGCAUUAUGGGUAAUGUAGAGGUUCUACAGUUUCCAAAUUGUCCUACAAAUGCGUAGGCCUACAUCAUAUGCAUUGUGACAGAACAGUAUCCCAUGGAAUACUGAAACAUUCCCAACACAAAAACACAGCGGAAAUAAAGUGGCCAAUGGCAGGACGUGCUUAUUUUGAGUUUAAAUUAGGGAAAUCUGAAAAUUGUAGGAGAUUCCCCAACAGUCUAUCUUCAUGGAUGUUACACCUGGAUGUGUGCACGUCUGCAGAUGGGCUCAGCUACAUACGUGGAAGACACAAGCCAUAAUCACUUUCGCUAUUUUCUGUGGCUUAUAGGGCGCUCGAACGCACUCCAGGGGUCCAACCCGCACUCCUCAGUUAGAGCACGUUCACCUGCCGUUUCAAGAAGAUGCACGUUAUGUUUGAGGGACGCACAACACUUCAAGAUAGAAAACAGCAUGUGGGAGUCCGUCAUUACACAACUUGCAUCUACUUGAGACUGCAGGUGAACACGCUCUAACUUGAGGUGUGCGGGUCGGAGCCCUGGAGUGUAUCAAUACUAAAAG
This 770-nucleotide long non-coding RNA is filed under the name Salmo salar (Atlantic salmon). RNAcentral describes it as "lncRNA (ENSSSAG00000094466.1)". The record is from RNAcentral. Lineage: Eukaryota; Metazoa; Chordata; Actinopteri; Salmoniformes; Salmonidae.